Molecule: ribosomal RNA, 253 nt
Filed under: uncultured bacterium
Lineage: Bacteria
Description: partial 16S ribosomal RNA
Rfam family: Bacterial small subunit ribosomal RNA
Source: RNAcentral
UACGUAGGGGGCUAGCGUUGUCCGGAAUCAUUGGGCGUAAAGCGCGCGUAGGCGGCCCGGUAAGUCCGUUGUAAAAGUCAAAGGCUCAACCUUUGAAAGCCGAUGGAUACUGCCGGGCUAGAGUCCGGAAGAGGCGAGUGGAAUUCCUGGUGUAGCGGUGGAAUGCGCAGAUAUCAGGAGGAACACCGAUAGCGAAGGCAGCUCGCUGGGACGGUACUGACGCUGAGGCGCGAAAGCGUGGGGAGCGAACAGG